Molecule: long non-coding RNA, 3681 nt
Filed under: Prunus dulcis (almond)
Lineage: Eukaryota; Viridiplantae; Streptophyta; Magnoliopsida; Rosales; Rosaceae
Description: sRNA ncRNA
Source: RNAcentral
AUUGGUGCCACUGAAGCUUGGGCCCGAUUGAACAUAGCCCUUUCCUAGAAUGAUAGAGAUAUGAGAAGCCUCUCUUCCUUUUCAAUCAAGCUACCAAAAUCCAAAUAUUACUAGUUGAAUAAAAUAUGUGUUCACUAUGUAUCUCUUCAUCCAUAUUUCCAAGUAAAAUUAGAAAUCCCACAAUCUAAUUUUACUUUUUUGUAACUUUUUGUUUCAUCAUGUUGGUUUUUCCAAGCAUUUUGUUUCAUAUAAUGACUGACAAACCCUAACUUUCAUUAUGUUGGUUUUUUCUAUCUUCCAAGUUCCAAUCCUUUCAAAAUCUUGGGAAAAAAGAACUUGGGAUCCCAUAGAUUAUUUAUCCCCUCUUUCUUGGCUUUUGUUUUUGGUAAAGAGGUAACUCCUUUCCUAUCCAACCAGUUUCAUGGUUGCUUUUUUCUCCUUUACCAAGCAUAGUGUGUUUAGGGUUUCAAUGAUCUUUCUGCAUGAACUUAAUGAAAAGUCACGAUUCACGUGAGUAAUGGUCCUAAUCGAAUUCCUGUUUGGAGCUCUGUUGGUGUCAGGGGGUGUUUAUGGAACAAAGCUUUACAAGUUUCUUUAUGUCAAGUCGAAAAAGCCCAAUUAAAUGCAAAUGGCUGUCAAGCCAUGCACCGAAUGGAUUGAUUGAUAUGGGCCGUGGUUGGUAGUCGGUAUAAAUAAGCCUCUUCUCCAUCACAUCCUGCUCCCAUUUAAGGUGGCCUUAAAUAGACUUCAAUGACACGAGAACUACCAUGCGUUUGAAAGCAGAUGGUGUCUCACUCCAAUAUAAAAUUACUACUAAAUUUUCAAGGUACAUGUUGCCAACUUUUCCCAAUAUAACAUGUCUGAUUGUCUGAUAAUAAGUAAAAAUAUGGGUGCAUCUUAAUCGUCCUUUUAUUAAAAAAGGUGAAUUCUUUAAUUUAAAUUGUUGAAAAUUUCGUAAGAACACAUUUCUUAUAAUAAUUAAAAAAAGAACCAUCAUCCAUUGUUUUUAUGGGGAUUCUCUAGUAAUAAAGAAGAACAAUUCAUGAUUGAGAUCUUAAAAUUGUUACCACUAAAAAAAAACAUUAUGUGAUAGAUUGCUUUCAUCCCUAGGACAAGAAAAAAUGCCAAGAGUGAAAUGUGGGAUAUGCAUAUGGGCGUGAAGCACAAUCAAUGCAAAAAACGACACAAAGCUCAAGUUGAAAUGAAGACAGCAGACACCAACUUCAAUACUCUUUUUCUCAUCACAAUUUUCGUGUAAAUUAAAUUUUUCUCGGAAAAUGAGGGUCUCCUUGUUGCUUAGGGUUGGGUAAUUAUCUCACUAAUUACCAAACUAAGCAUUAAUUAGUUUCUAGGGAAACAUAUGUUAUUAUUGAUUUCCUCCAAAUUUGACAAGUUAAAGCCUGCAGGGUGUUUGUUUCUUUGUCUGGAACAGUAGUCUGUUCAAGUGUAGCCAAGCACGGUCUAAAACCAGUGAGCCUAUUUGCCGAUGUAGUCUUGUGGCACCCUUGAUUGAUUUGUUUUGACCUAAAUCAUUGCCAUCCACUUAUUUAUUUAUUUAUAUUUAAAAAGCCAAGCACUUAUUUUAUUUUUGUAUGGUGAUUGCCAUGACAUCCACUUACUUGACUCUCUCAAUGGAUAUCACAUGGCUGAUGGCACCCUAAGAAAACAAGAUUAUAAUUCAAAUGUCAUUGUCAGAGAGAAGAGAAAGUUAAAAAUUUUAGAUUUAUGUAAAAAUAAUAAUAAUUCAAGAGGUAUUGUGAAAACGAAAAAAAACUCAUGAGAUGUUAAUGUAAAUAACUCGAUGACAAAAACUUGAGAAACCAAUUUCAUCUAGUCUGCUUAAUGAAAUUUUCCAUUCAUAUCUUUAUCCUAAAGUUUUUAAAAAGAUUAUAUAUAUAUAUAUAUAUAUAUAUAUAUGUGUGUAACUUCUUCACCUCUAAUUUUGAACUGGUGGAAAUUCUUAUUUCUUUUAACAUUUUUUUCUUUUCAAUAAGGUCUAAGGGACAUUUGCCUCAUCACAAUUCAAAGAAAAGAAAAACAAAAAAGAUGACAUGGUUGGUGGUGCAUAUGAUUGCGCCAAGACAUAUAUAUAUAUAUAUAUAUAUAUAUAUAUAUAUAUAUAUAUAUAGCGAUGGCCGUAUUAGUAUAAAACUUGAUUUGCUAAUGUAAUCAAUCAUCCUAAAUGAUUAAAUUAAGCACAUUAUCUGCCAUUGCUUGUCGAGGUGAGCUAUUAAAAUAAUUGAGUGGCACGAGGUUUAGAAGCUUCGCCGCUUGGGCAAGAAUCUUGCCUCAGAGAUUGAAGAGGCAUCUAUGCUGAGCCAAAAGACUCUCGAACCAUGGAACGUUGACUAAUUUUCCACCUAUUUACUGCCUUUAAGUUUAACUUUUUUUUUCUUUUUCUUUUUUCUUCCAAAUUAAGAGACCUAAAAGUUAAUUUCUCCAUAUUAUACUAAAUGGUGUAUCUAUUUCCCCUUUAAAAGAAGCCAACUAAGUUGAGUCUAAAGAUUUUUGUUUAAUAUAUCAUAAUCUGUCUUUUGGUUAGUCUAUUGGGAAUAUUUUAGAGCUCUAUGUUUAUGUAUAGUAAUAUACCUCCUAUGUAUGUGUCCUUCCACUAAUUAAAGUAAAACUUACAUUUGAUAUAGGAAUAAUUCUCUGGUGCGAGACAAUGACAUGUUAUGUUAUGAAGAAUACUAUCAUAAUAAAUCGCAUAUUCAAACAAGAGUCUAACUGCGUAAUUAACGGUUCAAAUUAUACAAUUGCGCGCAUAACAGUUUUGUAACUACUCCUUCCUUAUUUGGUACUGUGCUAUAUAUAAAUAGCAACCAUUAGAUUGUCACUUGAAGAUUGCACUAAUAAGACAUGCACAUAACAACCAAAAACCAGUAUGGAGAAGAUAUAUAUAGGAUUGGGUUUAGCUUGUGUUGUUCUUAUCCGGCUUUGGAUUUAACCUUGAGCUGUUCCUUUACACCACUGAAAAAAUACUGACAUUCUAUCCUAUAUCACCCUAAGAAUAUAUGUCAUCUUCUUGUUUUUUCCUACAACACCUAGCAAAUGUGCAGAAGAGAGAAAUUCAAAUUAUUAUAUGGGCAGGGAUAUGAUGAUAAGGUCCCAAAAAAAGAGGAAAAAUAGGAGAGCAAGCAAAAUUAUCUAUCUGAAAUUAUUUUGGACACCAGAAAGCUGAAUAUGGCAAUUGCAGGUGGCUUGUUUUUUCUCUUCUUAAACUUGUACUUAAGUGACUCUCAAAACCAUGUUCAUGUUCUCAACAAACAAAAUGAACACAAUUUUACAGUGUUUUUUUAUUUGGGGUUCCGACGAUUAAUGAUUAAAUUGUGCAGGUGCAAGGAAAUGAGUGUUAGGACCACGCCAAACUUCAGAGCUGGAAUUGUAGCUAUCAUUGAUAAUGACCCUCCAUUUCAAGCAAUUCAAAAUCAACGGCCCUGAUUGCUUCCAAUUCCGGAGCUGGUACUCCCAUGUGGAUUACACACAGUGAUAGUGGUGGAUGUUUGCUCAAUCACAAUGUCUACACUUGUUGAAGUGUGGUCAGUUGCAGAAGAUCAUCUCUGCAAAUUUGUGUUACAUCGUUUUUUUAGGACUGAACAAAAUAUUAUAUACUUUUAAAAAAAAGAAAGAGAUAAAAAGCCAUAAGUUGCUGCUGCCCACAUGGAGCUUAGUAUAUUUCAU